RNAcentral lists this long non-coding RNA (806 nucleotides) under Panax ginseng (ginseng). Its description in RNAcentral is "long non-coding RNA (PGIN_LNC018966)". Lineage: Eukaryota; Viridiplantae; Streptophyta; Magnoliopsida; Apiales; Araliaceae. The record is from RNAcentral.
GGAAAAUCAAAAAUUAAAAUAAUUAAAAGUGUCGCUAAAGGCCCCUAUAGUGACAGAACCGUCGCUAUAGGUGUUCUUGAGCCUACCCAGAUCUUCAUAUGGCAGAACCGAGUGGCCUACUUUGACCGUGAAUAACUCUCUCAUCUUAACGAAUUUGGACAAUCUAUAAAUUGGGUCUUGUAGAGGAAAUACAAGACUACAAGAUCCAACAAUCAUAACCUCUAAACAAACAUCAGAUCUGGGAUAAAUCAGCCAUCAAAGUAGCUACCAAAGCUGUUCUUCACGAAGAACAGUUCGAGGUGCCUACUUUGGACCUCUAUAACUUGAUGAUCGUGUAACGUUUAUGUGAUCUAUCAAUUCCAGUGUGUAGACAACAUGUAGGACUACAACUCUAACACUUAACAUCAUCAUAACAACAAGAAAUCAAGCAUCUAAAGUAUGGUCAAACCUUGUCAGAAAAAUUAACACUUAGAAAAUUCUGGGCUGCCCAGAAUUUUCUGGUCAAUGCCGGUCAACCCACUUUGACCUUAAAUAACUCUUAAUCCGUAAUAUAUAUGGACCUGAUUCUUUUUGGAGGUUAAAUACCACAUAACAAGCUACACAUAUCAACCUUUAGAACACAAAACACAUUAAAGAUGACCGAGAUAUAAGGCCUGACAUUUUCCAAAAAAAAAUUUUCUGGACACUUAGAAUAUUUUCUGGGUUUGAAAAACAGCCGGUCAAUGCCGGUCAACCCACUUUGACCGCUUAUAAAUCCCGAUCUACAAUAGAUAUAGACCUGAUUCCUUUUGGAGUUUAAAGACCAC